AUGUCGUGGUGGGGGCAUGCUGCAAUGUACUCCUGGAAUCUCUCCCAAGCUUUCGGGAUGGCUUCAUCAGGAAGCCGCUGGAAUCCAGAGAUCUUCCUCCUGAGGAC
Panicum virgatum (switchgrass) is the source of this 107-nucleotide small nucleolar RNA. Lineage: Eukaryota; Viridiplantae; Streptophyta; Magnoliopsida; Poales; Poaceae. The record is from RefSeq and is a predicted model, not a curated record.